GGACCCGCACAAGCGGUGGAGCAUGUGGUUUAAUUCGAAGCAACGCGAAGAACCUUACCUGGUCUUGACAUCCCCCUGAAUAACGUGUAAUGACGUUAGGCCUUCGGGACAGGGGAGACAGGUGGUGCAUGGUUGUCGUCAGCUCGUGUCGUGAGAUGUUGGGUUAAGUCCCGCAACGAGCGCAACCCUUAUCUUUAGUAGCCAGCAGUAAGAUGGGCACUCUAGAGAGACUGCCGGGGAUAACCCGGAGGAAGGUGGGGAUGACGUCAAAUCAUCAUGCCCCUUAUGAUCAGGGCUACACACGUGCUACAAUGGCGUAAACAAAGGGAAGCGAAGGAGUGAUCCGGAGCAAAUCCCAAAAAUAACGUCCCAGUUCGGAUUGUAGUCUGCAACUCGACUACAUGAAGCUGGAAUCGCUAGUAAUCGCGAAUCAGAACGUCGCGGUGAAUACGUUCCCGGGUCUU
Molecule: ribosomal RNA, 464 nt
Filed under: uncultured bacterium
Lineage: Bacteria
Description: bacterial SSU rRNA
Rfam family: Bacterial small subunit ribosomal RNA
Source: RNAcentral